This is a long non-coding RNA of Papaver somniferum (opium poppy), 2794 nucleotides long. RefSeq lists it as uncharacterized. The transcript has 2 exons. The record is from RefSeq and is a predicted model, not a curated record. Lineage: Eukaryota; Viridiplantae; Streptophyta; Magnoliopsida; Ranunculales; Papaveraceae.
AUCUCUGAGAUCUGAAAGAAACGAGGUCCCCUUUUGUUUCUUUUUCGGCAUCACCACCACCCCCUCUGGCCUCUGCCGUUACCAUCCCCUUGCAACCGCCACCAUUCUAAUCUCUACUAACACCACUACCAUCUCUAUCCCCACCACCGGAACCACCAAAACCAUCUCCAUGUCCACUAUCAACCACAUUCAAAAUUACAGAGAGAAAUAGAAUCAAUCACAGAUUCAUAAAUCAAGCUUGAUAAUCAUCAUCAACAGUUUAUAUUCUUCUUCUUCUUCUUAUACUCCUCAUCGUAACAAUGAUUUCCAAGUAAAUUGGGAUUGUGGUGAAUGUUAUUUUUGGUGGUGGACUUUUGUUGCACUGGAGGUGAUGGUGGUGGAUUUUGUUGUAUUAGUGAGGAUGGUGGUGUUGUUGCAUAUUGUGGUGGUGGUUGCUGUGUAUACAAUAUAGGCGCAGAAAGGUGCUACUGCUAAUAAGGGAAGUGACAAGAAAAUAGCUAAGAAAGAUGCCGUGGAAGAAAAUCUCAAGGAUGACAAAGCUGUAUUGUCCAGCUGCUGUGGACAAACCGUAAGUAUUUAAACUCUGUUAGUGGAAUCUAUUGCUUUUUAUGUUCUUCGUAAGGGUAUUUAUACUAUUUUUUUUUCGUUUUGCUGUGUAAUGUAAGCUCUUCUGUCGACACUUGCAAAGAAGCACACGGGAGUGUGUAUAGGGCAGUGGGAAAGACCUAAAAAGUUUUUGCCGUGAGCCACUGAGCUUCAAGUAUCUUUAUAGAUUUCCUUAUUUUGUUUUAUUGAUGUUAAGUACACAUUUAUUUAGUUUGUUAAGCUUAGAAUGAACUGAACGACUGGGAGAUAUUGUCCUUUGCUUUAUUUAGGAAACUGAUCAUAUGCCAAGCCAUUUUACGCACACUAUAGUGUUAAGCUCCGUUUAUCUAAGAUGAGAGCAAAUCAGGCUAUAAUGUGCAUAAUCCAUCUUUACUUAUAAUGUAGUGUUAAGCUCAAAUUAUCUAAGGCGAGUUAAUGUGUCUAUAAUGUGCAUAAUUCAUCUUACUAUCUUGUCACUAAAGAGCUUGUGUAUGAGAAAAUGCAUAUCAUUUUUCGAGGUUUUAGUUUAGUGCCAAAAUGAAGACUAGAAAGAGAAAUGGGAAGGUGAAUAUCUGGACACAUAUUGGGGUUAAUUUGGAACUUAUAGAGCUAUUGUUGGGGAACUAGACUGUAGGUUCUUACUUGUAGUUAGCUGGUUGUCAUCAUCUAAGUUGAAAUGGUUUGAAUGGUUACAUGAUUAAGGUUAUGUCAAAUAGUUGACACACUUGCUGGUCGCGGGAGUUCUUUAUUUUUAUUUGGUGGUGAUUUUUGUAUUUAUUUUCUUUGCCUAGUGAAGGAAGUUUCGGAGAGUGUUUUUUUUUCUAUAGAUGAUAGGUAAUAAAAUUCAACAGUCGCUACCAUUUAAUUAAGAUUUUUCUGAACUAUUUUAUCUUGAUAAGUUAAUUCAUUGUUUUUAGGCUUCUGGAUACUAUAUUUGCUUUUUCUAAAUGACAUUAACCUUUAUGUGCUUGUUUGGUUGCUCAAUUUUGUUACUUCAUAUAGAAAAGUUAGUGGUUGAGCUCUUAUUGCAUGUUGUUUUCUUGUUCUGAUCAUUACUAAGGAAUAUAUGGAUCUGAAAUGGGUUUUUAGGUUUAAGUCUAAGUACAACUAAGGGUCUGGUAUUCUAAGGGUCUGGUAUUCGUAAACUUGAUUGCUUUACUGAGCUUAGAGUUUCUCAUAGUUGUUUUCCAUUUUGUGCUUGUCUUUUAUGUGAAUUUUUACUGAUCUUUUAUCUAACUUGCUUGUCUUUUUUUUUUGUAUUAUUUUGUUUAUAUCAAGCUUUUCGAACUUGUGGUGUAAUGGUAACACUCCUGACUCUACGUCAGAAGAUACGUGUUCGAUUCACGCCAAGUUCACCAAUAAUUUUAGUAUAAUCAUUUUUGGGAUCAAUUUUGGUUGUUGACAUAGUUUUUUGGGAUCAACUUUGGUUGUGAUACAUAUAUUGGGAUCAACUUUGGUUCUUGAUACACAUGUUGGGAUCAACUUUGGUUGUUGACACCGUACCUAAUCUGAACAUUUUCUGAAAUUUUAAUUUGGGAUCAACAUUGGUUGUUGAUACCAGAUUUUGGGAUCAAUUUUGGUUGUUGACACCAUAUAUAAUUUGAGCAUUUUCUGAAUUUUUAAUUUUUUGGAUCAAUUUCGGUUGUUGAUACCAUAUUAUUUUAUUUUAUGAUUUUUUUGGGAGUCAAUUUUGAUUGUUGACAUCAUAUUAUUUUUUUUCCUUGUUUUCUGUUUUUUUUGGAUCAACUUUGGUUGUUGACACCAUUUAUGUUUUUAUUAUUUUCUGAUUUUUGUUCUUGGGGUCAACUUCGGUUGUUGACAUCAUGUUAUUUUUUAAUUAUUUUCUGAUUUUUUUUCCGAUCAACUUCUGUUGUUGACACCACCCCCACGAUGGUGGUGGCGGUGGUGGUGGUGGACUUGUGGCGGCGGCGGUGGAGGUUGUUGUGGCGGCGGCGGCAGCGGUUGUCGAUUGGUGGUGGAUUGCUCGUGCUGAAAUGAGAAAUUUUUUAUUUUUAAAAAUGGAGAAACAUGUUCUUGUCAUAAAACAAGAAAAGAUUAUAUAAUAUAGAGGGUAUUAAUGUAAUCUAUCUUUAAAUGGAUAAGGUGAGGGGUAUAUUUAUUAUGUGAUAGGGGUAUAUCUGUUGGUUAAGAAAAUUAGAGGCAUAUACUUAAUGUACCGGAGAAUAAAUGGACUUUCUAGUUGGGCCAA